UGCUUGAGACCGAUACCGAGCAAAUGCAGCCUCGGUAUCGUUCUCAAACGAUACGGUUGCAUUCUUAAACCCUCUUGGUAGCUUCGUUCUAAAGGCUUCCAAGAUAUGAGUGAAUGCUAUAGAGAUUGCAUGGGAGUCCAAAGGGCUUUGCUUCUCCUGUGGCUCAGUCUUAUUUCAUACCUGCGACAUCUUUUAAGAGAAAUUUUCAAGAGGGGAAUCGUGUCACCAAAACCUUUGUGAUCUUUGAAUUUUGGAGGUUGAAGGUGGGGGGAGAGGCUUGCUUUGCUUAUGAUAAUUACUCAAGAGACCCAGCUGCUGGAACUGUCUCCAUCUUGUAAACUGCUCAUCCAGGUGCCUGAGAGGGAAGGAAAAUGCUCCUGCCCAGAAAUGUCCUAUUGUCCAUAGUUCAUUGACCAGAACUAUUUUUAUGACCCUGACAAAUCACAAGAAGAGAGCUUCAGUCAGG
This is a non-coding RNA of Kogia breviceps (pygmy sperm whale), 466 nucleotides long. The record is from RefSeq and is a predicted model, not a curated record. NCBI's taxonomy places the organism in Eukaryota, Metazoa, Chordata, Mammalia, Artiodactyla, Physeteridae.